Molecule: ribosomal RNA, 429 nt
Filed under: Bacteroidota bacterium
Lineage: Bacteria; Pseudomonadati; Bacteroidota
Description: Bacteroidetes bacterium partial 16S ribosomal RNA
Rfam family: Bacterial small subunit ribosomal RNA
Source: RNAcentral
UAGGGAAUCUUCCGCAAUGGACGCAAGUCUGACGGAGCAACGCCGCGUGAGUGAAGAAGGAUUUCGGUUCGUAAAACUCUGUUGUUAGAGAAGAACAGCGCAUAGAGUAACUGUUAUGCGUGUGACGGUAUCUAACCAGAAAGCCACGGCUAACUACGUGCCAGCAGCCGCGGUAAUACGUAGGUGGCAAGCGUUGUCCGGAUUUAUUGGGCGUAAAGCGAGCGCAGGCGGUCAAUUAAGUCUGAUGUGAAAGCCCCCGGCUCAACCGGGGAGGGUCAUUGGAAACUGGUUGACUUGAGUGCAGAAGAGGAGAGUGGAAUUCCAUGUGUAGCGGUGAAAUGCGUAGAUAUAUGGAGGAACACCAGUGGCAAAGGCGACUCUCUGGUCUGUAACUGACGCGGAGGCUCGAAAGCGUGGGUAGCAAACAGG